CCACCCGCACGUACAGAUGGACAAGAAUAGGCUUCGGCUUAGCGUCUUAGCAGGCGAUUACUCUACGGUACUAGAAGUGUGCUGUAGUAUUUCGCGUAUUGUAAUUUUAAAACGAGCGGGGUCAAAUCCUUUGCAGACGACUUAGCUGUGCGAAACGGUCCUGUAAGCAGUAGAGUAGCCUUGUUGUUACGAUCUGCUGAGGGUAAGCCGUCCUUCGCCUCGAUUUCCCCAAUACAGGCAGCCCUGGUGGCUAACUGCGUAGGGGGUUUGGGAGAUGGAUCAGAAGGACGCCAGAGCUCCGGCGUCUGGUCUGUCUCUCGGGAUGCGGCUGCAGGGUAGUCAGUCCAUCUUUGCGUCUUCUGGACAGCUUCUUGCUUGUUCUCCUACGAGAUAUAGUCUACAGGGUAGCUCAGAAGAGAUGGGAUGGUGGUUUUGCAAAAGUAUUGUAUAUCGGUCGCGCGGUUUGGUGGUCGUGAGUCGAUUUUUUUGAUUUCCCAUACAAAUGAAUUUUGCGGAAAAUAAAAAUCGGCCCGGGAACCGACCGUGGCGUGCACGAGGGUAAAUGUGGGUCGGUGCACCUAUGAGAGAGGGGCGCGAGCGCUGAAGGCGAAAGCCUAGGGCGCUGCAGCAAACCAGAACACAGCGUCUCGGGUCAACUAUAAUUAGCUGGUCCGAUCCGCUGUGGGAAAUCUCUUCAACUGUACCAUAUCUUGCAGAUUCCCACUGAGUGGUCACUUGGACAGGCUUGCAGGCUCCGGCUUCGCUAGCGGGUGAUUCAUAGUGGGCGUCGACCCUCACGAAAGCGGCCGCGUGCGGUACGUCGUACUGAGGAUGCCUGGUCUGGGGAGAGUUCUGCUCUCGCCGGCGCUGGAUGGGUUCUGUGGAUGGAUGGCCGAUGGCUAGACUUACCACUGAGCAACGGGAGAUCGCCACGCGCAGCGGACACCGCCAUGGUUGAAGCUGUGCGCUGAGCACUCCUCUUGGGGCGCCCAAGCCGCACCGGCCCUAGUGGUCUAGGUGUGGUGGAAGGAUGUCCUGGGGAACUGAGAGGGGGAAGGUGGAUUGCCCUGCGCGGCGUCGGUGGCCCUGCCGCUGGUGCUGUGUAAGGCGCGCUCUCACGAGUGCCAUUCAGUAACUAAUUCUCCGGUGCCCCUCGUGGGCGCUGGUGGCCAACCCCGGCGAACGAU
This 1187-nucleotide unclassified non-coding RNA is filed under the name Pestalotiopsis oryzae. Its description in RNAcentral is "partial contains 28S ribosomal RNA and 28S-18S ribosomal RNA intergenic spacer". The stretch from base 1 to 228 matches the Rfam family "Eukaryotic large subunit ribosomal RNA", at positions 3162 to 3401 of the family's 3401-position model. Lineage: Eukaryota; Fungi; Ascomycota; Sordariomycetes; Amphisphaeriales; Sporocadaceae. The record is from RNAcentral.